AGAGUUUGAUCAUGGCUCAGAAUCAACGCUGGCGGCGCGCCUAACACAUGCAAGUCGCACGAGAAAGCGGGGCAACCCGCAAGUACAGUGGCGUACGGGUGAGUAACACGUGGAUGAUCUACCUCUUAGUGGGGAAUAACCCUGGGAAACCGGGGCUAAUACCGCAUGAGCUCGAGAGAGGAAAGCAGCAAUGCGCUGAGAGAGGAGUCCGCGGCCGAUUAGCUAGUUGGCAGGGUAAGAGCCUACCAAGGCGAAGAUCGGUAGCCGGCCUGAGAGGGCACACGGCCACACUGGCACUGAAACACGGGCCAGACUCCUACGGGAGGCAGCAGUGGGGAAUCUUGCACAAUGGGGGAAACCCUGAUGCAGCGACGCCGCGUGAGCGAUGAAGCCCUUCGGGGUGUAAAGCUCUUUCGUCAGGGAAGAUCAUGACGGUACCUGGAGAAGCAGCUGCGGCUAACUACGUGCCAGCAGCCGCGGUAAUACGUAGGCAGCAAGCGUUGUUCGGAGUUACUGGGCGUAAAGGGUGUGUAGGCGGUUGUUUAAGUUUGGUGUGAAAUCUCCCGGCUCAACCGGGAGGGUGCGCCGAAUACUGAAUGACUUCGAGUGCGGGAGAGGAGAGUGGAAUUCCUGGUGUAGCGGUGAAAUGCGUAGAUAUCACGAGGAACACCGGUGGUGUAGACGGCUCUCUGGACCGUAACUGACGCUGAAACACGAAAGCGUGGGUAGCAAACAGGAUUAGAUACCCUGGUAGUCCACGCCCUAAACGAUGCACAUUUGGUGUGGCAGUUCAUUCUGUCCGUGCCGGAGCUAACGCGUUAAUGUGCCGCCUGGGAGUACAGUCGCAGGCUGAAACUCAAAGGAUUGACGGGGCCCGCACAAGCGGUGGAGCAUGGUGGUUCAAUUCGACGCAACGCGGAGGAC
Molecule: ribosomal RNA, 924 nt
Filed under: uncultured bacterium
Lineage: Bacteria
Description: bacterial SSU rRNA
Rfam family: Bacterial small subunit ribosomal RNA
Source: RNAcentral